RNAcentral lists this ribosomal RNA (245 nucleotides) under uncultured bacterium. Its description in RNAcentral is "partial 16S ribosomal RNA". It matches the Rfam family "Bacterial small subunit ribosomal RNA", at positions 524 to 768 of the family's 1533-position model. The record is from RNAcentral.
UACAGGGGGUGCAAGCGUUACUCGGAUUUACUGGGCGUAAAGAGCGUGUAGGCGGUUUGCUAAGUCUGAUGUGAAAUCCCUGGGCUCAAUCCAGGAAGUGCACCGGAUACUGGUAGACUAGAGUGUCGGAGGGGUUGGCGGAAUUCCCGGUGUAGAGGUGAAAUUCGUAGAUAUCGGGAGGAACAACAGAGGCGAAGGCGGCCAACUGGACGAUUACUGACGCUAAGGCGCGAAAGCGUGGGGAG